CGCAGAAGGUGACUCACCUAGUCACUGUCAGAGAAGAAACACCACCCCGAAAUCCCCAUUCUGUGAUUCCAGCUGCCUAACGCUACCACGUGGCUGCAGCCCGAGACCCUCUCCGUGCAGGGUCCAGAAGGUGGGAAGGCAAAGAUUCCACCCGCAGGUUAGGAAGUUCUGAAGGGGCUGAACCUGAACGUGGUAACUCUGGCUGACCACCCCUCAUUCCCCCAAGAGCUAGAAGUCACCACCUCUGUGCAGAAGCUGUUUCUCAUCGCCUAAUGCUUGGCCUCCUGAUCUGGGGCAGACGCAGAUAAGCUCCCGCAGCAGUAUCCACAGAAAGAAGGCAGAGAGAUCUCAACGGUAGGAAACCCUGGCAUUUUAAACUCUGCAUUUCACAAAAGUCGUUUUGUUGUCAUCAUAAUUACCAAAUUUAAAUUGCCUCUAUAUUCAGGUUUCAAGAAGCCAUAAAGAGAGAAAGGAGAGAUUUUCAUGGUGAGAAAUGAAAAUGAUGAGAAGAAGAGGCAAUCUGUGGAGCCGAGACUUAAAGAGGAAAAAUGUUUCUGGAGUCAGCUGCAGCCAAGGUGCCUAAAAAAGAAAGAGACGAAAGAGAAGGGGCUCUCGGAUGCCCAAACACAGUGUGUUUCGUGUACCAGUGGAGGUCUGGCUCCAGACCCUGAAGCUUUGGGAACAAACACUUGCCUUGCUGAAUGUGAUGGUCAGAAUCAGAAAAAAUCUGCCCAACUGGAUUGCGUGAUCCUGGAUCCCCGUCUGUCUCUUCAGAGAGAAGCACCAGCUGGCUGGAAGGAAGCAAAGCACUUGUUAUUCAAAGCAUUGCUAGA
This 833-nucleotide long non-coding RNA is filed under the name Aotus nancymaae (Ma's night monkey). RNAcentral's name for it is "lncRNA (ENSANAG00000039468.1)". Lineage: Eukaryota; Metazoa; Chordata; Mammalia; Primates; Aotidae. The record is from RNAcentral.